RNAcentral lists this non-coding RNA (23 nucleotides) under Cricetulus griseus (Chinese hamster). Lineage: Eukaryota; Metazoa; Chordata; Mammalia; Rodentia; Cricetidae. The record is from RNAcentral.
AUACUGGAAAGUGUGCUUGGAUU